This is a long non-coding RNA of Cebus imitator (Panamanian white-faced capuchin), 579 nucleotides long. RefSeq lists it as uncharacterized. Lineage: Eukaryota; Metazoa; Chordata; Mammalia; Primates; Cebidae. The transcript has 2 exons. The record is from RefSeq and is a predicted model, not a curated record.
GCUUUGUCUCCCCCGUGUGAUUUCCCGGAGACCCGGAGGUCCUGGGAAGCUUGAAAGGGACUGGCCGGAUGGGAGCCGCGUCUGGUGUUUGAAGCCAGCGACCUUGUCCCAAGUCUCUCGGGGCAAACGGCCUUCCAGCAGUUCAGCACCACCAUUCUCACCGGGGUUUGGCUCAGAAUGCAAACGACAGUUUCCAAAUUCCCUAAUUCCGGAAACGCUGGGAGGGACAAAGGUUUCAGGCCUCGACUCCUGCGCCUUCCCAGGAGGCUGCAGGCGCUGAUGAUCCAGGCUUGGGCUUCCCACCCAGGCCCCGGCGGCCGGGGUGUGUCAAGUCAGCAGGUGGAGCUGGGAGAAUAAAAACUCUGAGCCGGUGCCUGGGACCUUGGAGAGGAAGCUAUCUGUGCCGAAAUCCUGAUUGAAUGAAAAUUGUUCAUUAUGCAAAGCGUCGGGUUCAGUACGCAGAGGCAGCCCCCAGGCACGAACCCCAAGUAGCUGCUUUUUCUCUCCCCAGAUUAAAACAUAUGAACUGCUUUGAUGUAACCUUAUAACAAAGCCUAAUAGAAAUUUUAUUUCUUUGAA